GGGCACUUAGCUCAGUUGGGAGAGCGUUUCCUUCACACGGAAGAGGUCGCAGGUUCGAUCCCUGUAGCGCCCACCA
Molecule: transfer RNA, 76 nt
Filed under: Bacilli bacterium
Lineage: Bacteria; Bacillati; Bacillota; Bacilli
Also listed under: 1 other name
Description: tRNA-Val
Rfam family: tRNA
About the family: Transfer RNA (tRNA) molecules are approximately 80 nucleotides in length. Their secondary structure includes four short double-helical elements and three loops (D, anti-codon, and T loops). Further hydrogen bonds mediate the characteristic L-shaped molecular structure. tRNAs have two regions of fundamental functional importance: the anti-codon, which is responsible for specific mRNA codon recognition, and the 3' end, to which the tRNAs corresponding amino acid is attached (by aminoacyl-tRNA synthetases). tRNAs cope with the degeneracy of the genetic code in two manners: having more than one tRNA (with a specific anti-codon) for a particular amino acid; and 'wobble' base-pairing, i.e. permitting non-standard base-pairing at the 3rd anti-codon position.
Source: RNAcentral